CUGAUUAGCUAGUUGGUAAGGUAACGGCUUACCAAGGCGACGAUCAGUAGCCGACCUGAGAGGGUGAUCGGCCACAUUGGAACUGAGACACGGUCCAAACUCCUACGGGAGGCAGCAGUGGGGAAUAUUGCACAAUGGGCGAAAGCCUGAUGCAGCAACGCCGCGUGAGUGAUGAAGGCCUUCGGGUCGUAAAACUCUGUCCUCAAGGAAGAUAAUGACGGUACUUGAGGAGGAAGCCCCGGCUAACUACGUGCCAGCAGCCGCGGUAAUACGUAGGGGGCUAGCGUUAUCCGGAUUUACUGGGCGUAAAGGGUGCGUAGGCGGUCUUUCAAGUCAGGAGUGAAAGGCUACGGCUCAACCGUAGUAAGCUCUUGAAACUGGGAGACUUGAGUGCAGGAGAGGAGAGUGGAAUUCCUAGUGUAGCGGUGAAAUGCGUAGAUAUUAGGAGGAACACCAGUUGCGAAGGCGGCUCUCUGGACUGUAACUGACGCUGAGGCACGAAAGCGUGGGGAGCAAACAGGAUUAGAUACCCUGGUAGUCCACGCUGUAAACGAUGAGUAC
RNAcentral lists this ribosomal RNA (561 nucleotides) under Clostridioides difficile. RNAcentral's name for it is "bacterial SSU rRNA". It matches the Rfam family "Bacterial small subunit ribosomal RNA", at positions 237 to 816 of the family's 1533-position model. Lineage: Bacteria; Bacillati; Bacillota; Clostridia; Peptostreptococcales; Peptostreptococcaceae. The record is from RNAcentral.